This 513-nucleotide ribosomal RNA is filed under the name uncultured bacterium. RNAcentral's name for it is "partial 16S ribosomal RNA". It matches the Rfam family "Bacterial small subunit ribosomal RNA", at positions 28 to 523 of the family's 1533-position model. The record is from RNAcentral.
GACGAACGCUGGCGGCAUGCCUAAUACAUGCAAGUCGAGAGAACAGAUGAAGUGCUUGCACUUCUGACGUUAGCGGCGAACGGGUGAGUAACACGUAAGGAAUCUACCUAUAAGCGGGGGAUAACAUUCGGAAACGGGUGCUAAUACCGCAUAAUAUCUUCUUCCGCAUGGACGGAGAUUGAAAGACGGCUCUGCUGUCACUUAUAGAUGACCUUGCGGUGCAUUAGUUAGUUGGUGGGGUAACGGCCUACCAAGACGAUGAUGCAUAGCGGACCUGGGAGGGUGAUCGGCCACAUUGGGACUGAGACACGGCCCAAACUCCUACGGGAGGCAGCAGUAGGGAAUUUUCCGCAAUGGGCGAAAGCCUGACGGAGCAAUGCCGCGUGAGUGAAGAAGGCCUUCGGGUCGUAAAACUCUGUUAGAAGAGAAGAACAAAUUGUAGAGUAACUGCUACAGUCUUGACGGUAUCUUAUCAGAAAGCCACGGCUAACUACGUGCCAGCCGCCGCCGUAA